CCUGUCGCUCGUCGCUGUGGGCAACCGUCGUGUAACUAUUAGCAACCUGCACUUCCUGCAGGGGGGGCAGGAAGCUGGGCCAUGAUCCACUGCAGCCUCCUGGCGUCCUUCUGCGGUUUGAACACAAGGUGGCGGCAUCACACUGGCAGAGAACGACGGUUGCCCCGAGCCCGAGCGUUAAACGUGCGCCCUGGUCGGUACUUGACCUGACAACUGGGCAAACUUCAGCCAGUAGUGAAGACUGAGAGAUGUGGUUAAAAGCUCCAGAAAAACUAAACACACAAGCAUGACAACUGAGCAAACUCUAUCUGCAGAUGAAGAUCAUACAAUGAAGGUAAAAGCUCCAAAACAAGAGCUGA
Xiphias gladius (swordfish) is the source of this 359-nucleotide long non-coding RNA. RefSeq lists it as uncharacterized. The transcript has 4 exons. Lineage: Eukaryota; Metazoa; Chordata; Actinopteri; Istiophoriformes; Xiphiidae. The record is from RefSeq and is a predicted model, not a curated record.